GGGUGAUCUGGUUGGAACAUCUGUCACCCCAUUGAUUGUCAGAGUUGAUUCAGCUAAUCUGGCUGGCUGGGCAGGUUCCCCCAUGCUCAGUGGGAGAUAACAACCACCUCAAAUAGAAGGACUGUACCAUUCUUCAAUCAAGGGUAUAUAAUAGCAUACAGACUCGUAGGGUCUGUGGUGGAAGAAAGAUGAACGUAAAUAUAUAAAUUGUACAUAAGCCUAUUU
This 225-nucleotide small RNA is filed under the name Salvator merianae (Argentine black and white tegu). RNAcentral describes it as "7SK RNA (ENSSMRG00000017162.1)". The stretch from base 1 to 153 matches the Rfam family "7SK RNA". Rfam says of the family: 7SK was discovered as an abundant small nuclear RNA in the mid-70s but a possible function has only recently been suggested. Two independent studies have found that 7SK RNA binds the CDK9/cyclin T complex (known as elongation factor P-TEFb). P-TEFb activates transcription by phosphorylating the C-terminal domain of RNA polymerase II. The record is from RNAcentral. Lineage: Eukaryota; Metazoa; Chordata; Lepidosauria; Squamata; Teiidae.